GUUUAUGGAACUGCUGUUCCUGUUCAUGGGCGUGAUGCAGACAAGUUGCAACACCAGGGUUACGGUACACUAUUAAUGGAAGAGGCAGAGCGGAUUGCUCGCAGGGAGCAUAGAUCAACUAAAAUAGCAGUGAUUUCGGGGGUGGGAACCCGUCACUAUUAUAGGAAACUUGGCUAUGAGCUUGAAGGCCCCUAUAUGGUUAAAUGUCUUGCUCUACAUUGACACGGCUAGCCAAUAUGUGAUGCAACG
This 249-nucleotide unclassified non-coding RNA is filed under the name Hevea brasiliensis (rubber tree). The record is from RNAcentral. Lineage: Eukaryota; Viridiplantae; Streptophyta; Magnoliopsida; Malpighiales; Euphorbiaceae.